AGUUUUUGGAAGAGGUAUUGCCACCCUUUCUAGUCCCUAUUAGACUAGAAAGGGCGGCAAUACCUCUUCCAAAAAC
Molecule: microRNA precursor, 76 nt
Filed under: Pan paniscus (pygmy chimpanzee)
Lineage: Eukaryota; Metazoa; Chordata; Mammalia; Primates; Hominidae
Also listed under: 1 other name
Description: miRNA (ENSPPAG00000010496.1)
Source: RNAcentral